UUUCUGUCUGUUUGUUUUGUCCACCUCAGAGUUCCCUCCCUGUUCUCAUGAAACUUGAUCUCCUGCUCAGGUGAGCUCCUCCCCUCUACAUUUCCAGGCAGUGAGUUUAUCUCUGGGCGUGGAUCAGACUGUGCAGGUACGUGACCAAUGUGGUCAGCAUCAAACAUGAAGAUUAUCCCAAACUAAAGCAGAGGAGAAACAACACAUGCUUCAGUGUGAUCUGAUUCUAAGGGAGGAAGACUUGAAUGAAGAACAUGUUGUAGAAAUCAAUUAGAAACUGGAGACAGAAAAGAGUGAUGCAGAAAUUAAUCUUUGAAAUGAUGAGAAUAAAGUGGAUUCUUUGAGUGUAACAGCAGCGUGUUAGUGUGACUUAGUGAAGACUCAUGGAGUGAUGAUAAUGGAACAAACAGUCAAAGCUUUAAGUUGAGUGAAAGGAACAGGAUCUGUUAGAGGAGCUUCCUCCUGAACAAUAAGACUGACAUUAAAUGUGACAUGGAGACAGGGACGUUUAGCUCCAUGAAAUGACUGAUGAGCUGAUAACACAGACAUGGGUCCCACACUGUGCUCGUAUCUGGAAAACAACUCUGACACAAACGCAGCUGAUGCCACUUUACUACCAACGUGACAUCGACCUGUUGUCAGCUGUGCAGGGAGGCAGCGCUAGGCUGCUCAGCUGGAUGCUAACCAGUCUCUUUGGACUGAGUCUGCUUCUGUUCUGGUUCUGUUCCUGUGCUGCUUUCUCCAUCUGAAUGCUGAAGAAUCCCACUGUGACCUGGGAGUCCACGUGAACAGCUGUUUUACCCAAUUACCCCUGUGUAGAAAUAAAAGUAGCUUCAUCUGUUUGUUCACUUCUACAGAUCUCUUUCCAGAGUUGGUAUCAGCUGCUGUGCUGUCCUUGAUCAUUUAUUAGGUUGGAUCAGACGUUACAGAGAAAAGAGGAACGAUUCAUUCCAGGAACUACAUUUAUGGACAGUUUUAGCUCAAUGCUAAAUGCUAACCCACCAUCCACUCUACUGUCCACUAGUUAAACCUGUGUCAGCAUCUGAAGAGUGCAUUACAGAAGUUCAGCCUGGAGGAGACAAAGAUGUGGAUGAGCUUCUUUGCAUCUGCCGGGUGAAGGUUGGAUGUAGUUUGGCGAUAUUCUUGAUGUGGGGGUAUAUUUUAACACCCAGCUUGUUCAAACUGAACUGACUUUAUUUGUGGAAUAGGACAUAGAGGGAUUCCCAGAAUGGACGAGGAGACAGCGCUGUCUGGUGGUGUGUAGAGGAACUGCAGCUCAUCAAAGUCUAUACGUCCAUUCUGAGAAUCAGUGGGAAACUUCAAGGAAAUAGACGGAUCCACAAAUGAGCUGGUUUUGUGGGUAGUGGGUAGUUCAGGGACCUCUAAACGUUUCUAGGAAAUACACAUCCUUUAUGUGCCGGUGAGUUCACAGAUUGGGAUAAAGGUGGGGUAUACCAGUGUCUGUGGUGAGUGCACAUGCUGAGUUAAAGAUAGUAUGUACCAGUGUCUAUCGUAAGUUCACAGAAUGGGAUAAAAUUAAGAUAUACCAGUGUCUGUGGUGAGUUCACAUAACUGAGAUAAAGGUAGGAUAUACCAGUGUCUAUGGUAAGUUCACUGACUAGCUUGAAGCUGAUGGAACUAUUAACGUUGUCCUCAGUGAGGAGUCAGAAACAUGAAUGAAAUGGUUUGUGAUUCACUGAAGUUUUAACGUGAGCAAAAACAGAAACGGAUGGAAAGAAACAAGAGCACUUACCAAAUAAUAAAAUGUGUUUAGAAGCAUCUUCAAUCUGUUCUGUGUAAGUCACUGCGUUGGUAUUUUUAAAGGGAGGAACUUUUAAAUCUGGCCUUCAACUAAUUUCAUUUACUAUAGAGGUUUAUUAAACUUUGGAUAACAAGAGUGAAAGCUUUCUUAGUUUGCUACAAUCAAUCAACCCUUUAUUUAUUUAUUUAUUUAAAGUCUUUGUGCAUUUUAUCAUUAUUAGACCAGGGUUUCACAUAAUCUCAUAUUAUUUAAUUAUUGUCUCAAGAAAAUUUGAUAACACAAACACACACACACAAAAAAAAACCUUUUUAUUCCACGGAGCACAUGACAAUCCUCCAUCCGUGGAAGUUGAGAAUUAUCAGGUUCUCACAAACUAUUGUUUUUUUCUAAAAUCCGUCCAGAAACAAUGUUCACCGUUACUUUGAUCAGCAACAAACAUGGAGAACUCCAAGCUCUACAACUGAGCCCAGUCACACCAUGCUGCAUCAUGAUCUCCACCUGCUGCUGAAGACAACAACAUUUGUCAGGGGUAACUUGAUGGUGAAGCUGUUUUAAUGAAUGUGAAUCACCCACAUUGAUACCGUGCAUUAACAAAUGAGUGUGGGAUGAAGAAUCAGCAAAAAAGGAUUUACUAGACUCAAUGAAUUCUACCAGAUCAGAAUGCUGCACAUCAGAAAGAUGAUACCAGAACAUUUUUCACGGGGUUAAGGCCACUGACAAAACCACAGUCACUCACUAAGCACCAGGCAGCUCCUGUGAACCCUUUUUACUUCAGCACUGGACAGCUCCUGUGACCUCUCGCUGUUGCCAGACUAACAAAAGAAGAGGUCACUUCAGCACUGGACAGCUCCUGUGAACCCCUUUCUACUGCCUGGCUAACGCAAGGAGAGGUCCCUUCAGCACUGGACAGCUCCACGGGGACACAUCAGAUUCAUCAGUCUCAUUUUGAGGCUUUAAGGAGAUUUUACUGCGUUUGGGUCCUUCAGGAACCUACACACGGACCCUCCACCAGUGUGAGUCAUUUCUACUUGUAUCUUCUCAGUUUGGUUCCCUCUGUAACAACACCACCUGAAUACUAGGUGGCACCAUGUCUUUUUAGCCAGUCAGGUUAAUUUUUUUCUACUUCCUGCUCCAUUUUCAACAAUUUUGCCGAACACAAGCUGUACAGACAUCUGUAUUUGUAAACCUCCUCAGUUUACCUUACCAAUUUUUAAUUGAGCCAAAACAAUCAGUUUGAAAAAGGCCGAGAUGGAGAAAUAGCUGGCAAUACUAAAGCGUAAAAACGGAAACAAUUGCAGAAAUUCGAUAUUCAGCAGUGUUUGCUGAUCAUACACCAGUAAAAAGUUGACAUUAGUAACACUAACACACACAACAGUGGCAGUGACAGACAGCAGGCCACACACACUGGCCCCAUCUUCUUUACAGAAACAAGGACAAAAACUGUAAUAAUAAUAAUUACUAUAUGACUACAGUCUGUUAAUGGUGGACUGGAGGAAUCUCUUAUAGUGUAUUCUUUCCCCAGUGAAUGGUACUUUAAAGGAAAUAAAAAUGUCACGGAUGUUGACUCAGUCCAUAGAGCAGCAGAAACACAUGUAUCUGUUGAGUCAGAUAAACUGAACACUAACUAGGAAAGAAUGUUUGUGACUGAGCUGCUCACUUUUGAUCAACAUCAGCAUUUAUCUGCAGUCAGAGUCUCUGUCCACACAAGCUGCUGCUGCUUCAACCUCUGGAUCAUCAGGACACAGAUCAUCUUCGAACAUCACACAACAUCCUGUUUAAUACCAUGGCUUCCACCUGUAGAGAGAGAAAGAAGAGAGGAGGUGAAGGAGUGUUUCUAGAUACUCAGGGACUUGAGUCCUGUUCAGAGCAGCAGUGGAGCA
Mugil cephalus (flathead mullet) is the source of this 3642-nucleotide long non-coding RNA. RefSeq lists it as uncharacterized. The transcript is spliced from 3 exons. Lineage: Eukaryota; Metazoa; Chordata; Actinopteri; Mugiliformes; Mugilidae. The record is from RefSeq and is a predicted model, not a curated record.